UGGCGAACGGGUGAGUAACACGUUGGUGAUCUGCCCUGCACUUCGGGAUAAGCUUGGGAAACUGGGUCUAAUACCGGAUAGGAGCCAUCUUUAGUGUGGUGGCUGGAAAGUUUUUUCGGUGUAGGAUGAGCUCGCGGCCUAUCAGCUUGUUGGUGGGGUAAUGGCCUACCAAGGCGGCGACGGGUAGCCGGCCUGAGAGGGUGUACGGCCACAUUGGGACUGAGAUACGGCCCAG
RNAcentral lists this ribosomal RNA (235 nucleotides) under uncultured Actinomycetales bacterium. RNAcentral describes it as "partial 16S ribosomal RNA". It matches the Rfam family "Bacterial small subunit ribosomal RNA", at positions 96 to 334 of the family's 1533-position model. The record is from RNAcentral. Lineage: Bacteria; Bacillati; Actinomycetota; Actinomycetes; Actinomycetales.